GGAAGUAAAAGCGUAACAAGGUUUCCGUAGGUGAACCUGCGGAAGGAUCAUUAUUGUAUAACCGAGGUGCGAGGGCUGUCUCUGACCCGAAAGGUCGUGCACGCCCGAGUGCCCUCACACACAUCCAUCUCACCCCUAUGUGCACCACCGCGUGGGUCCCCCUUUGGCUUGUUCGGAGGGGGGCUUACGUUUUCACACAAACUUUGUAUGCAGUGUAGAAUGUAUUUUUUGUUUUUGCGAUCACGCAAUCAAUACAACUUUCAACAACGGAUCUCUUGGCUCUC
RNAcentral lists this unclassified non-coding RNA (284 nucleotides) under plant metagenome. RNAcentral's name for it is "partial contains small subunit ribosomal RNA, internal transcribed spacer 1, and 5.8S ribosomal RNA". The stretch from base 1 to 53 matches the Rfam family "Eukaryotic small subunit ribosomal RNA", at positions 1778 to 1831 of the family's 1831-position model. The record is from RNAcentral.